GACUUCAGCAAUACAUAAAAUGAUUUAGUUACUAGUUAUUAGAGAUAACAAGUUUUUGUUUUUUAAGAAGUCUUUGUUAAUUAAGUUUCUUACAGUCACUAAACUACAUAUUGUUAUAAGAUCAAUCUAGUUAUGUGACCAGUUAUAACAAUUAAAUGGAAUCAACACUCCUGUUAUUGGGGGGAAAAAAAGAAAAAAAAAUCAGUUAAUUCAAUGAGAGCCUAACUCAUGCCACCUAGAGGAGAAAAGCGGUAUGUCUCACAACUUUCUAUUUGUGGAGAAAACUGACAUGCUCGAUUUCCCUGGAUAUUUUCAUCACGGCCUAUUAAACAAUCAUACAGUGUCAUUGGGCUAUAAUUUAAAAAGAAAACUGCAAUUAAGCUUCACCUCAAUAAUAUUUUCCAUUGACUUCUUUUCUAGAGGAAAAAUUAUAAAGUUUUAGUUACCUGUUAUCUCCUAGCCAAUAAUAUCCUAAAAUCUACUCUGAAAGCAGUUUGAAUAUCUAAAUUCUUAACAGCAAAAAUGUCAGCCCUUACACUUUCAUAAGCCAUCUAAUAUUAUGAAGUAUAACAACCAGAGUUAUGGGCAACAUAUCAUAUUUUAAUAUAAAAGGAGCUACAGACCAGGGAACUAAUCCACUCCAAUAGUUAAGGUGGUUCCAUUUCUGCAGCAUCCAGAUAAUCAGAUAGUAAAGUUUCAGUUGUCAGACAUACUCAAACAAGAUUUAUAAUAAAUUCUCCA
RNAcentral lists this long non-coding RNA (741 nucleotides) under Bos taurus (domestic cattle). Its description in RNAcentral is "long non-coding RNA NONBTAT007647". The record is from RNAcentral. Lineage: Eukaryota; Metazoa; Chordata; Mammalia; Artiodactyla; Bovidae.